RNAcentral lists this unclassified non-coding RNA (356 nucleotides) under soil metagenome. Its description in RNAcentral is "partial contains 5.8S ribosomal RNA, internal transcribed spacer 2, and large subunit ribosomal RNA". The stretch from base 1 to 120 matches the Rfam family "5.8S ribosomal RNA", at positions 35 to 154 of the family's 154-position model. The record is from RNAcentral.
GAUGAAGAACGUAGCGAAAUGCGAUAAGUAAUGUGAAUUGCAGAAUUCAGUGAAUCAUCGAAUCUUUGAACGCACAUUGCGCCCGCCAGUAUUCUGGCGGGUAUGCCUGUCCGAGCGUCAUUUCAACCCUCGAACCCCUCCGGGGGUCCGGCGUUGGGGAUCGGGAACCCCUAAGACGGGAUCCCGGCCCCGAAAUACAGUGGCGGUCUCGCCGCAGCCUCUCAUGCGCAGUAGUUUGCACAACUCGCACCGGGAGCGCGGCGCGUCCACGUCCGUAAAACACCCAACUUCUGAAAUGUUGACCUCGGAUCAGGUAGGAAUACCCGCUGAACUUAAGCAUAUCAAUAAGCGGAGGA